GCGGGUGUAGCUCAGUUGGCAGAGUACAAGCUUCCCAAGCUUGGGGUCACGGGUUCGAACCCCGUUACCCGCUCCA
Molecule: transfer RNA, 76 nt
Filed under: Candidatus Electrothrix aarhusensis
Lineage: Bacteria; Pseudomonadati; Thermodesulfobacteriota; Desulfobulbia; Desulfobulbales; Desulfobulbaceae
Also listed under: 10 other names
Description: Candidatus Electrothrix aarhusiensis tRNA-Gly
Rfam family: tRNA
About the family: Transfer RNA (tRNA) molecules are approximately 80 nucleotides in length. Their secondary structure includes four short double-helical elements and three loops (D, anti-codon, and T loops).
Source: RNAcentral